RNAcentral lists this ribosomal RNA (261 nucleotides) under uncultured bacterium. RNAcentral's name for it is "partial 16S ribosomal RNA". It matches the Rfam family "Bacterial small subunit ribosomal RNA", at positions 96 to 354 of the family's 1533-position model. The record is from RNAcentral.
CGGCGGACGGGUGAGUAACGCGUGGGUAACCUGCCCUAUACAGGGGGAUAACAGUUAGAAAUGAUUGCUAAUACCGCAUAAGCGCACGGAGCCGCAUGGCGCUGAGUAGAAAAACGAUAGUGGUAUAGGAGGGACCCGCGUCUGAUUAGGUAGUUGGUGAGGUAACGGCCCACCAAGCCGACGAUCAGUAGCCGACCUGAGAGGGUGACCGGCCACCAUUGGGACGUGAGACACGGCCCAAACUCCUACGGAAGGCAGCAG